Molecule: long non-coding RNA, 4424 nt
Filed under: Brassica napus (rape)
Lineage: Eukaryota; Viridiplantae; Streptophyta; Magnoliopsida; Brassicales; Brassicaceae
Description: long non-coding RNA (BNAP_LNC008150)
Source: RNAcentral
UGUACGUAAAUACCAUAUAUCCUCCACGUACGUACAAAGGACACAACAGAAACAAAGUAAACAACUUCAAUCCUAAUUUAGAUGCACUGAACAUCCACUCACCGUCCCACACACAAUCUAUACGUUACACAACAUAAGAUUCAACCCUAAGAAAUGUCAGAGAACGAUAAUACAACACUUGUACAAACACACUAGUACCAAACCUAGAUUCCCCAUCUCAUUCGAGAGAGAUAAGAUAAAGAGUGUGUGUUUGAACGUAGAGGUGACUUUUUUUUUUGAGUUUUGGUGAACCAAACACACCCCCCAUCUCUUCUCAUAAUUAUUAUCACCUCUUCUACACGUUACCUCUUUGCUGCAAACUCACGCUCCUCUCCUAAUGCACGUGACUACCACGCUCCACUUUCAAUCUCUCUGUUCUUUUUACCCAACACCAUUCUUCUUUUGUCUCAAUCCAAUUCGCUUAAAAAGAUCUUUUCCAAUCUCAGUUCACAUUCAAUUAACAAAACAUGUUUCCUGAUAUAUAUACUUUUCGAUUUUUGUGUUUUUUUUUUCAAACUAAAACAUUUCACACAUAUAUGUAUGGUCACAGUCUUCUAAUCAAUUUCGUAGAAAAUUUAAAAUAACAUUUCCUCCAUUUCCUACUAAGUUUUUUCAGACUAAAAUCUUCUGGUUUAUUUCUAGUUAAUAUUUUUUAUUAGAAACUAUAAAAAUUGAUUUUUCAAAUGUAUGCAACCAAAAUGUAUAAAAAAUUAUAAUGAAAAAAAUUUAAAUGAACACUUUAUAUAAAAAUAGCGUUGGAAUUGGAAAAUUCAGUAAAAAUAAGCUUUAUCAGAUUAUUUAAAUAAGCUUUAUCAGAUUAAUUUUUAUUUUAUAUUAUUGUAAAAAGCCGCGAUAUCUGUUCAAAAAUCAGAAAUCAAGAAGUCACGCCUAUAUCUUUCUCUCUCCCGUCACUCUCACUCCUCCUCCACGUCUUGCUUAUCAUUACAUCGAUCCUCCUUUGUCUCUCAUCUCUGUUUUUCUCUUCUCCAUAGAUAAUCAAGAAUCAAUGGACUCUGCAUUGUCCCCAAGCCCAUUUGAUCCCACAAAAACACCAAACGCAGAGCCAAAGAAAAGCUUCAUGUCCUCUCUCAUUACCCUCCGCUCCAACCACUUCAAAGAAGACACUUACUUCGUCUCCGAACUCAAACCCGCCGAGCAGAAAGCUCUCCAAGACCUCAAAGAGAAGCUCUCGUCUUCCUCCUUCGGAGCUUCCUCCAUGUGGGGAGUCCCUCUCCUCGGCGGAGACGACAGAGCUGACGUCAUCCUCCUCAAGUUCCUCAGAGCAAGAGACUUCAAAGUCGGAGACUCGCUGAGGAUGCUCGAGAAGUGUUUGGAGUGGAGAGAAGAGUUCAAAGCAGAGAAACUGACCGAAGAAGAUCUUGGCUUCAAGGAUUUGGAAGGCAAAGUUGCUUACAUGAGAGGAUACGACAAGGAAGGACACCCCGUGUGUUACAACGCGUACGGUGUGUUUAAAGAGAGAGAGAUGUACGAGAGAGUGUUUGGUGACGAUGAGAAACUCAAAAGCUUUCUCAGAUGGAGAGUUCAGGUUCUGGAGAGAGGUGUCAAGAUGCUUCAUUUCAAACCUGGUGGUGUUAAUUCGAUGAUUCAGGUUACGGAUCUUAAGGACAUGCCUAAGAGAGAGCUUAGAGUUGCUUCAAACCAGAUCCUUUCUCUCUUUCAGGAUAAUUACCCUGAGAUGGUUGCUACUAAGGUAAAUGUUUCUUUUUGGAGACAAGAACUUGAAUCUCGAGAUUAUUAUGUUUCUGUACUUGUGUUGUCUGAAAAAACCCGUAGUAAAUGUUAUGUUUUUCAUGUGUUUUUGCUCUGUUUUGCGUGUUGGGUUGCUUGCGAAUCUCUCAUGCAAGAGAAUCUUAAAGUGUCUUAAAUGCUUAGUACAUGUCUGCUUAAUGAGGAAUCUAAAUCUCAUUCAAGAAAUAGUACUUAUCUUAACAUUGAUCUUGGAAUCUUGUUUAUGUUCAAAUUUUCAAAAUGGAUUUGGAAGAAAUAGUAAAGAGUGGUUUUAGAUGUUUCUGUGUUGGCAUCAUCCUCUGACUUGUGCAGUUUUGAUUCUUGUUUUUGUAUUUACUUUCCGUAAAUUUUACUUCUUAGCUUUUGUCAUCUACCGCUACAGUUAAAUUGAUGGAUUCUUUGUGUGGCCGUACGCUGAAUUUAUUAAUAAUCAGUCUCUAUUGACAAAGACAAUGCGUAAUAUCUAUAAACAAAGCAUUUCUCAUGUUGAUAUUUGAGUAACAAACUAAUAUUUUAAUAUGUAAAAAGUACUAAUAGAUCAUUUUAAAACUAUUCAACUCGUGAAGUUUUGAUGAAUCUUUUUUUGUAGAUAUUCAUCAAUGUGCCUUGGUACUUCAGUGUCAUCUACUCAAUGUUCAGCCCUUUCUUGACGCAUAGAACAAAGAGCAAGUUUGUUAUGUCCAAAGAAGGAAAUGCAGCUGAAACACUCUACAAGUAAUCACCAUACCACUCUCUCAAUACUAUUUUCUUUUAGUUUGUUUUCUUUACUUUACCCUUUUUCUAAUUAUGCAUACCAUCUUUGCUAUUUCAGGUUCAUAAGGCCAGAAGAUAUCCCGGUGCAGUACGGCGGUCUUAGCCGUCCUACUGACUCACAAAAUGGACCGCCAAAACCUGCAUCUGAAUUCUCCAUUAAGGGCGGUGAGAAAGUUAACAUUCAGAUUGAAGGCAUUGAGGUAAAUAUGUCAACAAGCAUUUUACAAAUAAAUGAUUUGAUGAAUUAUGAAAUUCUUUUUACGUGGAGAUAGAGGUGAUGGUCGAAGGAAAGAAGGAAAAAAAAAACAAGUAGUAUUGGCUUUUCUUGUAUAUUUUUCUUUCAAAAUGCUUUUUUUUUUUGUAUAUAUACUGUGGAUUUACAAAGUUAAAUCACAACAAAUGUACCAUCAAAGAAAAUUCCACAAAUUCAACCACUAGUUUUCUUGCUUCAGCUAAACAAGUUACCAUUUAUAAGUCGUUGUAAAUAAAUCAAAUUGAUAGAAUACGUCCAACCGUCAAAUUUAAAAUGAAAAUGUAAUUUGCUUCGGAGGCUGUCUUUAAGGCAUUCCCGAAUGAUUAAAGGGUACUUAAUCAAUUACUGUUCCACUGUCGCACUAAGUCAAAAGUGAACUCCAAAGCCAAAGGUUUCAAACAUUGUUAAAGUAUUAUGUCCACGAGAAUCAGCACAUUAGAGGCCCACCAGUUAUCAAUAAACGCCAAAACAUUUUACAGUUUUCCAAAUUUUGUAAUAAUUUUUGCAGAGAGAUAUUUAGAAUAUCAUAAAUGAAAACAAAAAAAAGAGACAUACUGAAAAUUCACAACUAAACAAUUAGUAUAUAGUUAACUAUAAAAGGAAGAGAUGUAUAUAAUGGAGUCUUACAAGUUCUACAAAAAAUCAAAUUGGCAAGAGCACUUACAUUCCUUUAUCAAAAAAUUACUGUAUCAAUUUUCUCUUAAUUUUGGUUUCAAAUUUUUGUAAAUAAAAUACUCAUUAAGAAGACAGGGAAUAAAUAAUAAUGAUAGAAAUUCCUACUAACUGUUGUUGUAAGUUUCAACUUAGAUGUGGUCCAACGUUAAUACCAUUGCCAUUGAUACACACAUAUAGGUAAUAAUAACUAUUCGUUUAGUUAUUCUUUUCUGGAAUGAUGUUAAUUAAAUGUUUAUUUUGUAGGUUAUGGGAAUGAACUGGAAAGUAUAAAGUCGAAAUCGCAUGGUGUGGAAAAGAUGAUUGUUUUUGGCUAAACUAAUGUAUUUUAUAUGCUAAUUGAGCGGAUCCCCAAAUAUUCUCAUAAUCCCACCUUAAUCCUUCUCAUAGUAUGUUGAAACUUGAAAUAAAGAGUGAGCUUUAAAAUCCUUUUGCUUUUUAGAAUCUAGAGGAGAGUAAGAUUUUACCAAGUUAUUGUAGUCUUUGAGUCUUAUAAUUCUAAGAUUAAUUGUACGUAAAUACCAUAUAUCCUCCACGUACGUACAAAGGACACAACAGAAACAAAGUAAACAACUUCAAUCCUAAUUUAGAUGCACUGAACAUCCACUCACCGUCCCACACACAAUCUAUACGUUACACAACAUAAGAUUCAACCCUAAGAAAUGUCAGAGAACGAUAAUACAACACUUGUACAAACACACUAGUACCAAACCUAGAUUCCCCAUCUCAUUCGAGAGAGAUAAGAUAAAGAGUGUGUGUUUGAACGUAGAGGUGACUUUUUUUUUUGAGUUUUGGUGAACCAAACACACCCCCCAUCUCUUCUCAUAAUUAUUAUCACCUCUUCUACACGUUACCUCUUUGCUGCAAACUCACGCUCCUCUCCUAAUGCACGUGACUACCACGCUCCACUUUCAAUCUCUCUGUUCUUUUUACCCAACACCAUUCUUCUUUUGUCUCA